UGAGGAACAUGACCUUCGGCGGGGGAUAGCCGGCCCAACGGCCGGGUAAUACCGCGUACGACCUUUCGGGGACAUCCCCGGAUGGUGAAAGCAGCAAUGCGCCGAUGGAGUGCCUCGCGGCCUAUCAGCUAGUUGGGUGGGGUAACGGCCUACCAAGGCAACGACGGGUAGCUGGUCUGAGAGGAUGGCCAGCCACAGUUGGGACUGAGACACGGCCCAGACUCCGUACGGGAGGCAG
RNAcentral lists this ribosomal RNA (238 nucleotides) under uncultured bacterium. Its description in RNAcentral is "partial 16S ribosomal RNA". It matches the Rfam family "Bacterial small subunit ribosomal RNA", at positions 118 to 351 of the family's 1533-position model. The record is from RNAcentral.